AUUUAACUUGAGAGUUUGAUCCUGGCUCAGAACGAACGCUGGCGGCAUGCCUAACACAUGCAAGUCGAACGAGAUCUUCGGAUCUAGUGGCGCACGGGUGAGUAACGCGUGGGAACCUACCUUUUAGUACGG
RNAcentral lists this ribosomal RNA (132 nucleotides) under Magnetovibrio sp. Its description in RNAcentral is "partial 16S ribosomal RNA". It matches the Rfam family "Bacterial small subunit ribosomal RNA", at positions 1 to 141 of the family's 1533-position model. Lineage: Bacteria; Pseudomonadati; Pseudomonadota; Alphaproteobacteria; Rhodospirillales; Magnetovibrionaceae. The record is from RNAcentral.